CGCUGAGCCACCUAGGAUGCUUGUGGUCACCCAGCUAGUACAUGGCUGAACCCAGGGAGGCCAUCUUCAAGGAGAUCUGACACCACUAGGAGCAAAGACUCCCCUUUAAUCUCCUUGGAAGGGACUGUACCAGGUCGUCCCGACUAUCCAGAUGGCAGUCAGGCUCCAGGGACUUGAACCUUGGAUAUACAUCUCACCACUGAAGAAGAUCCCACCUGAUACCUGGUGCUGUACGAAUGUUGGAGACCUUGAAGCAAACUGAGGAGGAAGAGUAGCGGACAUUCAGAGUCCUGGAUCAACCAGAAUUCAAAUGGAUUUAAGAGGCAGAAGACACAGCGGGAGCAAAAAGGAGGAAAAGAAGGACAUAUUCUUUGCAAUCCUCUUCGAUGCCAGGGAAGCGGGGACCAUUUCCUCAUUGACUGGGAUACACAGCAACUGGAACUCAUUCACUGCAGGUUGGAGUGUAAAACACAACAGUGUUGAAGAC
Long non-coding RNA from Cervus elaphus (red deer), 487 nucleotides. RefSeq lists it as uncharacterized. NCBI's taxonomy places the organism in Eukaryota, Metazoa, Chordata, Mammalia, Artiodactyla, Cervidae. The record is from RefSeq and is a predicted model, not a curated record. The transcript is spliced from 3 exons.